RNAcentral lists this ribosomal RNA (279 nucleotides) under Staphylococcus aureus. RNAcentral's name for it is "partial 23S ribosomal RNA". It matches the Rfam family "Bacterial large subunit ribosomal RNA", at positions 328 to 609 of the family's 2925-position model. Lineage: Bacteria; Bacillati; Bacillota; Bacilli; Caryophanales; Staphylococcaceae. The record is from RNAcentral.
AUUAGACGAAUCAUCUGGAAAGAUGAAUCAAAGAAGGUAAUAAUCCUGUAGUCGAAAAUGUUGUCUCUCUUGAGUGGAUCCUGAGUACGACGGAGCACGUGAAAUUCCGUCGGAAUCUGGGAGGACCAUCUCCUAAGGCUAAAUACUCUCUAGUGACCGAUAGUGAACCAGUACCGUGAGGGAAAGGUGAAAAGCACCCCGGAAGGGGAGUGAAAUAGAACCUGAAACCGUGUGCUUACAAGUAGUCAGAGCCCGUUAAUGGGUGAUGGCGUGCCUUUU